Long non-coding RNA from Hippocampus comes (tiger tail seahorse), 521 nucleotides. RefSeq lists it as uncharacterized. The transcript has 3 exons. Lineage: Eukaryota; Metazoa; Chordata; Actinopteri; Syngnathiformes; Syngnathidae. The record is from RefSeq and is a predicted model, not a curated record.
GACUCCAGCCCCUCCUGGAACGGGUGCACGCGGCGCAGCUUCUCCGCAAAGCUGCUCCAUCGCACGAUGCAUCUAUGCAGCGCGGCGGCGUUGUCGGAGCAGGUUCCUGGCGUGGACCCUGAGGUACGCCGCCUCGUCCUCCGCGGGAGCUCGGCCCGUCAGCACCCCGAGGCCUCGGUAGGGCUCCCAGACUCGCCUCAGCGCAGAGGCCGUAUCCGGCACCAGCUCGGGCAGAUCUUCAGCUAAUUUCGGCCAGGAGACUCUCGAGCGUGUCUUGGUGGGAUCUGCCAAGAAAACGUCACCAGGAAGACAUCGUGGCAUCCUGAUCAGACUGACUGAGACACCUCACCUGGUUCCUCCCAGUCCGAAAGAGCGGAAGCAGCAGUGGCUGAGCCAGUCCCGGAUGACCGGGGUUCUCGCUGUCACUUGUAUUUGGGAUCUUCCGCCGCCGUGGAAAAAUGUAGCAAUUUAGGUACUGAAAUGAGUUCACAUCCAACAUAAGAAGACCACAGCAUGUGCUU